UGGGGAAUUUUGCACAAUGGGGGAAUCCCUGAUGCAGCGACGCCGCGUGAUUUAGAAGGCCUUCGGGUUGUAAAAAUCUUUUCUAUGGGAAGAAAAUGACAGUACCAUAGGAAUAAGGACCGGCUAAUUACGUGCCAGCAGCCGCGGUAAUACGUAAGGUCCGAGCGUUGUCCGGAAUCAUUGGGCGUAAAGGGUACGUAGGCGGGUAAGCAAGUUAGAAGUGAAAUCCUAUAGCUCAACUAUAGUAAGCUUUUAAAACUGCUCAUCUUGAGGUAUGGAAGGGAAAGUGGAAUUCCUAGUGUAGCGGUGAAAUGCGCAGAUAUUAGGAGGAAUACCGGUGGCGAAGGCGACUUUCUGGCCAUAACCUGACGCUGAGGUACGAAAGCGUGGGUAGCAAACAGG
Molecule: ribosomal RNA, 402 nt
Filed under: bacterium
Lineage: Bacteria
Description: partial 16S ribosomal RNA
Rfam family: Bacterial small subunit ribosomal RNA
Source: RNAcentral